UGUCUAGAAUGGUGUCUUGGUUUCCUU
RNAcentral lists this small RNA (27 nucleotides) under Bombyx mori (domestic silkworm). Its description in RNAcentral is "ovarian small RNA-35771". The record is from RNAcentral. Lineage: Eukaryota; Metazoa; Arthropoda; Insecta; Lepidoptera; Bombycidae.